Long non-coding RNA from Athalia rosae (coleseed sawfly), 508 nucleotides. RefSeq lists it as uncharacterized. NCBI's taxonomy places the organism in Eukaryota, Metazoa, Arthropoda, Insecta, Hymenoptera, Athaliidae. The record is from RefSeq and is a predicted model, not a curated record. The transcript has 3 exons.
CUCCCAGAAUAUUCGGAGCAGCAUGAUAAUAUCUCUCGAUUUGCAUCGAGAUUAUCGGGGUUAGGCCCUUUCUGCACAACAUCACGCGUUUGGUAUUUGUGCUGCACUAGAUCAAUGACACCGAUAAUUAUUCAAGAUACGACACUUGUGUGGUUUCAUUUUACUAUGAGUUAACUCGUGUCGAUUUAAACUCGACUUUCUAGUAAACGAUUUACUGCAUAUGGUACAACCAUAUGGUUUAAUACCAGCAUGAAACUUCAUGUGAACAGUCAGAUGUGAUUUUUGUCUGAAAAACUUUUGACAAACACCGCAUUCAUAGGAUUUCUGUCCAGUAUGAAUUAAGGAGUGUACAGUCAAUGCGGAUUUCUGGUGUUACUUUUUGAAACAUCUCUAUCGCAGUGAGUUGGAGGAUCCUGCCACGAUUUCAUUAAAGAAUCCCACGAAAAAAUGCUGCUCGAUCUACCAUUUCUGCAAUUGAAAUUGUUCUCCGACGAUGUUUCAUUAUCUG